AGAACGAACGCUGGCGGCAUGCCUAACACAUGCAAGUCGAACGAAGCCUUCGGGCUUAGUGGCGCACGGGUGCGUAACGCGUGGGAAUCUACCCUUCGGUUGGGAAUAACACAGAGAAAUUUGUGCUAAUACCUUAUAAUGUCUACGGACCAAAGAUUUAUCGCCGAGGGAUGAGCCCGCGUAGGAUUAGCUAGUUGGUGGGGUAAUGGCCUACCAAGGCGACGAUCCUUAGCUGGUCUGAGAGGAUGAUCAGCCACACUGGGACUGAGACACGGCCCAGACUCCUACGGGAGGCAGCAGUGGGGAAUAGUGGACAAUGGGCGAAAGCCUGAUCCAGCAAUGCCGCGUGAGCGAUGAAGGCCUUAGGUUGUAAAGCUCGUUUACCCGGGAUGAUAAUGACAGUACCGGAGAAUAAGCUCCGGCUAACGUCCGUGCCAGCAGCCGAC
Molecule: ribosomal RNA, 446 nt
Filed under: uncultured soil bacterium
Lineage: Bacteria
Description: bacterial SSU rRNA
Rfam family: Bacterial small subunit ribosomal RNA
Source: RNAcentral